GAUGAACGCUGGCGGCGUGCCUAAUACAUGCAAGUCGAGCGAACAGACGAGGAGCUUGCUCCUCUGACGUUAGCGGCGGACGGGUGAGUAACACGUGGAUAACCUACCUAUAAGACUGGGAUAACUUCGGGAAACCGGAGCUAAUACCGGAUAAUAUAUUGAACCGCAUGGUUCAAUAGUGAAAGACGGUUUUGCUGUCACUUAUAGAUGGAUCCGCGCCGCAUUAGCUAGUUGGUAAGGUAACGGCUUACCAAGGCAACGAUGCGUAGCCGACCUGAGAGGGUGAUCGGCCACACUGGAACGGAGACACGGUCCAGACUCCUACGGGAGGCAGCAGUAGGGAAUCUUCCGCAAUGGGCGAAAGCCUGACGGAGCAACACCGCGUGAGUGAUGAAGGUCUUCGGAUCGUAAAACUCUGUUAUUAGGGAAGAACAAAUGUGUAAGUAACUAUGCACGUCUUGACGGUACCUAAUCAGAAAGCUACGGCUAACUACGUG
Molecule: ribosomal RNA, 497 nt
Filed under: uncultured bacterium
Lineage: Bacteria
Description: partial 16S ribosomal RNA
Rfam family: Bacterial small subunit ribosomal RNA
Source: RNAcentral